Molecule: long non-coding RNA, 628 nt
Organism: Hyaena hyaena (striped hyena)
Lineage: Eukaryota; Metazoa; Chordata; Mammalia; Carnivora; Hyaenidae
Exons: 2
Source: RefSeq, a predicted model, not a curated record
UGCUCGCUGUCCCAGCGUCCCUCGCAUCUAAGGCACAGGCUGCGGUUUAAUUCUAGCCAAGGAGACUUCUGAGGAGCCUCCGGAAUGGAUUUUUAUCCCGUAGUAAAGGUAAAUCAGGAGAGAAAAUGCCCUUCCUUCUUGCCUUUGGACAGCGUCACGUGGAUAUGUUUGAAGUGGUGGCAGCCAUCUUGCGACCAAGAGGAAAUGGCUGAGAGAAUUGUGAGUAGUUGAACAAGAGCCCUGAUAUGUUUUAGCUGCUGAGUUAACGAGUCCUGGACCUCCCACCACCGGACUUCUUAUUAUGGAAUCUGUCGUUACUCAGUUUCUCCCUGUCGGAUGGAACAGCCCAGUAGAAAAGGUCUGUGAAGUGAAAUUGCGCAUCGUGAAAAAGGAGCGGCUGUGGGACGUCGCUGAAGGCGGUACCGGGGACCCACGGGCCUCCCGGGCAAAACCAUGAGUGGCGGGAACGGGGCAGAGCGGGACCAGUUUACAACCGAAUAGAGAAAAAUCAACAGGAUUGGGAGGGGCCGGCAGCACCAACAGAGACCCGGAGGACUGCAAAAAGCCCUUAGAAAACCUUAGAAAACUCUCAAAUAUUUUUGCAGAAGACCCUCCUCCCGAUCAAGCU